GCGUUUACUUUACUCACUGUUAUUUCUCUCUCCGAAAGCUUCCUACACUACAACAGAAUUAGAUUAUAGGGACACAUAUUUGGGACACUUUUAAGUAAGUAUCUCAUUUAUGCUAAAACUUAAAAACACAUCUACUAAUGCCUAAAUAUGAAGUCCAAUCUAACCAAAAAUAAAAGAUUACUCUACUCAACCCACCACACUGAGUCUAUUUGGCCCGAUUACAAACAGAAAAGAAAAAAAAAGAAAAAUCAAUUACCAUCUUUUCUUCUCUCUUCACUCAAUUCACUGAAAUUCUAAACGAAGAGCCUUUACUGUCGUCCUCCUCCGCCACCGCAGCCAACGAGAUAGAGUUUCGGCGGUUGCUAAAUGCUUAAAUAAGUAUUGGUAAAUUAGCAGCACUCUUUUAGGUUAUAGCGACACUCUUUAACUGUCACUAUAUACCUAGCAACCCCACAUAUAGCAACACUUUUUAAAAGUAUCGGUAAUUUUAGCUAACAACACUUUUUUGACAUGUACCUACAUUUAAAAGUGUCGCUAUAGACCGUUUUUGUUGUAGUGCUACCUCUUUCUAGGCGUGCUAUUUUUUUUUAAAAAAUAAUAGCAAGCUAUCUGCUUUAUUUAUAAAGUAGCAUAAACUUGAUAACAGAGG
RNAcentral lists this long non-coding RNA (649 nucleotides) under Ananas comosus (pineapple). RNAcentral's name for it is "long non-coding RNA (ACOM_LNC023992)". The record is from RNAcentral. Lineage: Eukaryota; Viridiplantae; Streptophyta; Magnoliopsida; Poales; Bromeliaceae.